RNAcentral lists this ribosomal RNA (1436 nucleotides) under uncultured Thermococcus sp. RNAcentral's name for it is "bacterial SSU rRNA". It matches the Rfam family "Archaeal small subunit ribosomal RNA". The record is from RNAcentral. Lineage: Archaea; Methanobacteriati; Methanobacteriota; Thermococci; Thermococcales; Thermococcaceae.
UCCGGUUGAUCCUGCCGGAGGCCACUGUUAUGGGGGUCCGACUAAGCCAUGCGAGUCAUGGGGCGCGCUCUGCGCGCACCGGCGGACGGCUCAGUAACACGUCGGUAACCUACCCUCGGGAGGGGGAUAACCCCGGGAAACUGGGGCUAAUCCCCCAUAGGCCUGAGGUACUGGAAGGUCCUCAGGCCGAAAGGGUCUCUGACCGCCCGAGGAUGGGCCGGCGGCCGAUUAGGUAGUUGGUGGGGUAACGGCCCACCAAGCCGAAGAUCGGUACGGGCCAUGAGAGUGGGAGCCCGGAGAUGGACACUGAGACACGGGUCCAGGCCCUACGGGGCGCAGCAGGCGCGAAACCUCCGCAAUGCGGGCAACCGCGACGGGGGGACCCCCAGUGCCGUGGCAUCGCCACGGCUUUUCCGGAGUGUAAAAAGCUCCGGGAAUAAGGGCUGGGCAAGGCCGGUGGCAGCCGCCGCGGUAAUACCGGCGGCCCGAGUGGUGGCCGCUAUUAUUGGGCCUAAAGCGUCCGUAGCCGGGCCCGUAAGUCCCUGGCGAAAUCCCACGGCUCAACCGUGGGGCUUGCUGGGGAUACUGCGGGCCUUGGGACCGGGAGAGGCGGGGGGUACCCCUGGGGUAGGGGUGAAAUCCUAUAAUCCCAGGGGGACCGCCAGUGGCGAAGGCGCCCCGCUGGAACGGGUCCGACGGUGAGGGACGAAGGCCAGGGGAGCGAACCGGAUUAGAUACCCGGGUAGUCCUGGCUGUAAAGGAUGCGGGCUAGGUGUCGGGCGAGCUUCGAGCUCGCCCGGUGCCGAAGGGAAGCCGUUAAGCCCGCCGCCUGGGGAGUACGGCCGCAAGGCUGAAACUUAAAGGAAUUGGCGGGGGAGCACUACAAGGGGUGGAGCGUGCGGUUUAAUUGGAUUCAACGCCGGGAACCUCACCGGGGGCGACGGCAGGAUGAAGGCCAGGCUGAAGGUCUUGCCGGACGCGCCGAGAGGAGGUGCAUGCCGCCGUCAGCUCGUACCGUGAGGCGUCCACUUAAGUGUGGUAACGAGCGAGACCCGCGCCCCCAGUUGCCAGUCCUCCCCGCUGGGGAGGAGGCACUCUGGGGGGACCGCCGGCGAUAAGCCGGAGGAAGGAGCGGGCGACGGUAGGUCAGUAUGCCCCGAAACCCCCGGGCUACACGCGCGCUACAAUGGGCGGGACAAUGGGAUCCGACCCCGAAAGGGGAAGGGAAUCCCCUAAACCCGCCCCCAGUUCGGAUCGCGGGCUGCAACUCGCCCGCGUGAAGCUGGAAUCCCUAGUACCCGCGUGUCAUCAUCGCGCGGCGAAUACGUCCCUGCUCCUUGCACACACCGCCCGUCACUCCACCCGAGCGGGGUCUGGGUGAGGCCUGAUCUCCCUUCGGGGAGGUCGGGUCGAGCCUGGGCUCCGUGAGGGGGGAG